RNAcentral lists this ribosomal RNA (388 nucleotides) under uncultured bacterium. RNAcentral's name for it is "bacterial SSU rRNA". It matches the Rfam family "Bacterial small subunit ribosomal RNA", at positions 124 to 507 of the family's 1533-position model. The record is from RNAcentral.
ACCUGCCUGUCAAGGAAGGGGAUACGCCCGUAGGGAAACUGGUAUUAACUACCUAUGGUAUUGAUUAUUAUGAAUGAUAUCAAUUAAAGUUGAGGCGCUGACAGAUGGAUGUGCGUCUGAUUAGCUAGUUGGUAGGGUAACGGCCUACCAAGGCGACGAUCAGUAGGGGCGUGAGAGCGUGGUCCCCCACACGGGUACUGAGACACGGACCCGACUCCUACGGGAGGCAGCAGUAAGGAAUAUUGGUCAAUGCCCGCAAGGGUGAACCAGCCAUUCCGCGUGGAGGAUGAAGGCCCUAUGGGUUGUAAACUUCUUUUAGAUGGGAAGAAAAUGCUAGAUGUAUCUGGUACUGACGGUACCAUCAGAAUAAGCACCGGCUAACUCCGUG